RNAcentral lists this long non-coding RNA (591 nucleotides) under Equus caballus (horse). Its description in RNAcentral is "lncRNA (ENSECAG00000030138.3)". The record is from RNAcentral. Lineage: Eukaryota; Metazoa; Chordata; Mammalia; Perissodactyla; Equidae.
GUCGAAAUGAAAGUGCAAGUUUUAGAGGUUCUUUGCUCACCUAAAUGUCUUCUACUUUAUGCCUCCUUAAAGCCAAGGGAAUAGGGUUUUCAAAACCUAACCUAUUGUUGAUAUCUAAAAAAUAAAUACAGCUCCCAUGAAACAAUGCUUCAUGAAUUAUUUAACCUACGAAGAAAGAGAAUAUUUCUAUUUCAUAAAAUUGUGCAUCUUAUAGCAACUGAUUUGUUAUCAUAUGCCUUAGGAACAGUCAAAAAGUGUCAGCAAACAUCAAGAAAAUAUAGAUGGCAAGGACAUAAAUGAUGAAAUGCUGGUGAAUUUCCAUAACAUUCUGGAUAGUUGAUCUGAGUUCAACUUAGAAUGAUGAUUAGAAGGCAUUUCUCCCAAGAAAUCUCUUGCACAUCCAGUUCUGUUUUGGUGUCUGGUUCUUGGAGGACCUGAACUGACUCAGGAGUCAUCAAUAUAUAGGGAAGGAAAACCAGGUUCCCCAAGUACUUCACCUGUAGCCACUGGGCUUGGACCUUUGACAUAGCUGCUGUCCUUAAUUUCCACCUGCCACCCUGGGAGGUAACUGAGAUAAGACCUAUCUUAAAG